UACAGGGGGUGCAAACGUUGCUCGGAAUUAUUGGGCGUAAAGCGCGCGUAGGCGGCCACUUAAGUCGGAUGUGAAAGCCCCUGGCUCAACUGGGGAAGUGCACCCGAAACUGAAUGGCUUGAAUGCAAAAGAGGGUCGCGGAAUUCCCGGUGUAGAGGUGAAAUUCGUAGAUAUCGGGAGGAACACCGGUGGCGAAGGCGGCGACCUGGGUUGACAUUGACGCUGAGGAGCGAAAGCGUGGGUAGCAAACAGG
RNAcentral lists this ribosomal RNA (253 nucleotides) under uncultured bacterium. RNAcentral describes it as "partial 16S ribosomal RNA". It matches the Rfam family "Bacterial small subunit ribosomal RNA", at positions 524 to 776 of the family's 1533-position model. The record is from RNAcentral.